This 711-nucleotide long non-coding RNA is filed under the name Lathyrus oleraceus (garden pea). RNAcentral's name for it is "Pisum sativum (pea) long non-coding RNA (PSAT_LNC041059)". Lineage: Eukaryota; Viridiplantae; Streptophyta; Magnoliopsida; Fabales; Fabaceae. The record is from RNAcentral.
AAUAAAAAUGAGAAUAAAAAAUGAAGCGUGAAAUUGAAAUUUAACCCAAAAUAGAAUAAAACUUCACCCAAAAAGUAGAUAUUUUGUCAACACUCCAACUCUCAAAGUCCAUUUCCAAUUCAUUUCUCUACUUUUCCAAAUGAAAAUACGAAACAUUUUAACAAAAACAUUUCCACGAUAACAACAUCAGCCAAGUAACCAACAUGAAUUGAACAAAUGAAUGUAAUAAACAAAGCAUAAUUAUUAGUAUUGGUACAACAAAUGAAGUCAUUAUGAAAAUUGGUUCAAACUUGAUUUAAAAAGCACAAACUUGAGAAAUUUCAUAUUUUGAAACAUUUCAAACUAAGCAUAUAACACAACAGAGAAAGAUAAUAUGUAAUUCAUUUGCAAAAAAUUAAAAAAAUUAUUAUUUCAUUAAAAAGUUAGAGUUCCACAAUGUAUGACAAGAAAGAGUUACCUUAAUAAACUUGAAUGUAAACACUAGAUAAUACAGUUAUCAACGUAAGCACCUAGUCAGAUAUACUUAUUCCACGAAAUCAUGUGAAAAUGCUCUCUCUCUCUCUCUCUCUCUCUCUCCGUUAAAAAGAGAACAGUAAAAAUGAGAAUAAAAAAUGAAGCGUGAAAUUGAAAUUUAACCCAAAAUAGAAUAAAACUUCACCCAAAAAGUAGAUAUUUUGAAAGCGGAUAUUUUGUCAACACUCCAACUCUCAA